CCUACGGGUGGCAGCAGUAGGGAAUUUUCGUCAAUGGGCGCAAGCCUGAACGAGCGAUGCCGCGUGAGUGAAGAAGGCCUUCGGGUCGUAAAGCUCUUUUGCGGGGGAAAAAAGUCAGCAUCAGUAAAUGCUUGCUGACUGAUGGUGCCCCGCCAGAAAGCCACGGCUAACUACGUGCCAGCAGCCGCGGUAAUACGUAGGUGGCGAGCGUUAUCCGGAAUGAUUGGGCGUAAAGGGUGCGCAGGCGGUUCUGCAAGUCUGUAGUGAAACGGAUGAGCUCAACUUAUGCAUGGCAUUGGAAACUGGAGGACUGGAGGGCAGGAGAGGGCGGUGGAACUCCAUGUGUAGCGGGAAAAUGCGUAGAUAUGUGGAAGAAGA
Molecule: ribosomal RNA, 378 nt
Filed under: uncultured bacterium
Lineage: Bacteria
Description: partial 16S ribosomal RNA
Rfam family: Bacterial small subunit ribosomal RNA
Source: RNAcentral